This is a long non-coding RNA of Hermetia illucens (black soldier fly), 1233 nucleotides long. RefSeq lists it as uncharacterized. The record is from RefSeq and is a predicted model, not a curated record. NCBI's taxonomy places the organism in Eukaryota, Metazoa, Arthropoda, Insecta, Diptera, Stratiomyidae. The transcript is spliced from 2 exons.
CUAAAAUAUCGGUAUGUCAAACAGGGUGAAUCGUUCGAAACGGUAGUUAUGGCGGGCGUCACUAAGUUAAGUCUGCCGCAAGUUAACAGUCAGCUAAUUAUGGCCUCCCUAUUGUGACUGUUGACUAUUUCGGACGAACCAUUUUGGCUUGACUCGUCGGACUUCGUAAUGGGCUGCGAAGUCUCGCCAUUUUCCAUUCGCGUUUGACUCACCUCACCUAUUCGACCUAUUUCUUGCGAGCGGGGGGUUUCGGCUCAAGCUUCGGAUUUUCCCCUGGACAAGCUUGCCCCGGAACAGCCGACACAAGUGAAAAGGCUAAGCACCGACGACGGAACGAGGGCAGCGGGAAACCAGCGCAUUAACAACAGGUUGAACAAUCAUGGCGACAUAAGUUUACGACAACGUAGAUGCGGGGUGGGAGGUGCCGUACAAAGAGAAAACAAGUUGUUGCGCUGGCCGACAAGCAGAUAAUUUAAGACGAAAUUCAAUGCGAAAGUUCCUAAAAUCUAAAGAGGCACACAGUGUCCGGUUUACUCAGUUGUAAUCUCACGUCAGUUUCCUGUACAGAUUCAUAAUUUUGAUUUGUCGCAAAUAUCUUGAUGAACGUUUGAUAAAAAUGUAUCGAUUUUAUUUCUGGCUUCGGGGCGACCUACGAUUUCAAUGUGUUGCUGAUCAUCUGCGAUGUGGGAAACUAAAGUUACUAAAAUAAGAACACGAUGUAAAAAGGCGUGCAAGGUCAGCAAAAUAGUUAUAUCAAUUAAAAAUGAUCCUCAAAUAAAGAAAGGAUAUGUAUUGAAGAAAUAUGAACUAUAUACGUGCUUCUAUAAAUGUACAGCAAAAAAAGGAAAAAAAACGCUAGAGUAACAGCUUUGCAAGCACAUGAUCGAUUGGACACCAUAGCAAGUAGUUGGACUUUAGUCAGAUUUAUUAGUCCUUAGCGCUAAGCAAUAUUCAUUUAUUAAUUCUUAGCUCUACAAAAUAUUGGCAGUAAUAAAAUCCCAAUAAGAUACGUAGUUGUUAAGUUUGUCAAAAGUGAAAUAAGAUUAAUGUAAUUAGAAUAAUCGUCGAAUAUGUCUACUCAUAAAACACCAGCACGAAAUAGGUGUUGGAUUAAGAUACAAAAAGAAUGGUAGUACUACCAUGGGGAGGGCGUGUUUAAAAAACGCUUCUUAGGUUCAUAUAUUUUUUUAAUUGCAGAUAAAUCGAUGAUAAUUAAAGUAAUUAUGAAUUGAA